RNAcentral lists this ribosomal RNA (515 nucleotides) under uncultured bacterium. RNAcentral's name for it is "bacterial SSU rRNA". It matches the Rfam family "Bacterial small subunit ribosomal RNA", at positions 8 to 502 of the family's 1533-position model. The record is from RNAcentral.
AGAGUUUGAUCCUGGCUCAGAACGAACGCUGGCGGCGUGCUUAACACAUGCAAGUCGAACGAGAAAGUUUCCUUCGGGAAGCGAGUAGAGUGGCGCACGGGUGAGUAACGCGUAGAUAAUCUAUCCUUAUAUUUGGGAUAACAUUGGGAAACUGGUGCUAAUACCGGAUACCCUUCAUUUCUGCCGGGUUAUGGAGGAAAGGUGGCCUCUUCAUGAAAGCUACCGUAUAGGGAUGAGUCUGCGUACCAUUAGCUAGUAGGUGGGGUAAUGGCCCACCUAGGCUACGAUGGUUAGCGGGUCUGAGAGGAUGAUCCGCCACACUGGAACUGGAACACGGACCAGACUCCUACGGGAGGCAGCAGUGAGGAAUAUUGCGCAAUGGGGGAAACCCUGACGCAGCGACGCCGCGUGAGUGAGGAAGGUUUUCGGAUCGUAAAGCUCUGUCAGAAGGGAAGAAGUGUUAUAUGGUUAACACCCGUAUAAUUUGACGUACCUUCAGAGAAGCACCGCUAACU